This 342-nucleotide unclassified non-coding RNA is filed under the name soil metagenome. Its description in RNAcentral is "partial contains 5.8S ribosomal RNA, internal transcribed spacer 2, and large subunit ribosomal RNA". The stretch from base 1 to 120 matches the Rfam family "5.8S ribosomal RNA", at positions 35 to 154 of the family's 154-position model. The record is from RNAcentral.
GAUGAAGAACGUAGUGAAAUGCGAUAAGUAAUGUGAAUUGCAGAAUUCAGUGAAUCAUCGAAUCUUUGAACGCACAUUGCGCCCGCCAGCACUCUGGCGGGCAUGCCUGUUCGAGCGUCAUUUCAACCAUCAAGCCCCCAGGGGCUUGUGCUGGGGCCCUGCGGCUGCCCGCAGGCCCUGAAAACCAGUGGCGGGCUCGCUAGUCACACCGAGCGCAGUAGCAUAUCUCGCUCAGGGCGUGCGGCGGGCUCCUGCCGUGAAACCCCCCACUGUAACCCCAAAGGUUGACCUCGGAUCAGGUAGGAAUACCCGCUGAACUUAAGCAUAUCAAUAAGCGGAGGA